Potamilus streckersoni is the source of this 78-nucleotide non-coding RNA. NCBI's taxonomy places the organism in Eukaryota, Metazoa, Mollusca, Bivalvia, Unionida, Unionidae. The record is from the annotation of a GenBank genome assembly.
GACUGGUCUAGUUGCCUAAAUGGUUACAGUGUCUGCCUAGGAUGCGUGAGGUCAUGGGUUUGAACCCCAGCGGAGUCA